AUGAUAGUGUGCACGUCAUGAUAAAGCAUGAUAAGAAGAAGCUUAGUGAUAAAGGUGAAAAAGUUACAGGUUAUGUUCCUCGGGCUCCUCACCCAUGCCUUACAGGCGAAGUUCAGCCUAAUAAUACGGAAGAUGGAGA
Molecule: non-coding RNA, 139 nt
Filed under: Ditylum brightwellii
Lineage: Eukaryota; Bacillariophyta; Thalassiosirophyceae; Lithodesmiales; Lithodesmiaceae
Source: RNAcentral